Molecule: transfer RNA, 73 nt
Filed under: Deltaproteobacteria bacterium
Lineage: Bacteria; Pseudomonadati; Myxococcota; Myxococcia
Also listed under: 1 other name
Description: tRNA-Ala
Rfam family: tRNA
About the family: Transfer RNA (tRNA) molecules are approximately 80 nucleotides in length.
Source: RNAcentral
GGGGUUGUAGCUCAGUUGGGAGAGCACCGGCUUUGCAAGCCGGGGGUCAGGGGUUCGAGCCCCCUCAGCUCCA